UAUUGCACAAUGGGCGCAAGCCUGAUGCAGCCAUGCCGCGUGUGUGAAGAAGGCCUUCGGGUUGUAAAGCACUUUCAGCGAGGAGGAAGGGUUCAGUGUUAAUAGCACUGUUCAUUGACGUUACUCGCAGAAGAAGCACCGGCUAACUCCGUGCCAGCAGCCGCGGUAAUACGGAGGGUGCAAGCGUUAAUCGGAAUUACUGGGCGUAAAGCGCACGCAGGCGGUUUGUUAAGUCAGAUGUGAAAUCCCCGCGCUUAACGUGGGAACUGCAUUUGAAACUGGCAAGCUAGAGUCUUGUAGAGGGGGGUAGAAUUCCAGGUGUAGCGGUGAAAUGCGUAGAGAUCUGGAGGAAUACCGGUGGCGAAGGCGGCCCCCUGACAAAGACCGACGUCAGGUGCGAAA
Molecule: ribosomal RNA, 402 nt
Filed under: uncultured bacterium
Lineage: Bacteria
Description: bacterial SSU rRNA
Rfam family: Bacterial small subunit ribosomal RNA
Source: RNAcentral